UCCAAUCCAUUGUAAUGUUUGGUAUCUAAGUUGGGAUGCAAAAGUGCAUUGCAAGAAUAAGUGAUCUCUAGUUUCCAUAUCUUGCUGGCACAUAACACAGUUGCCUGAUACAUUCAGAUUCCAUUGCAGCAGCCUGUUCUUGGUAGGGAGUCUAUCUUGCAGUAACAGCCACAAACUGAAGAUUGCUUUAGGUCGAGCAGCAUUCUGUAUUACCAAAUUCUUCCAAGGGACUCUAGGUGUCUCUCCNNN
RNAcentral lists this long non-coding RNA (249 nucleotides) under Nicotiana benthamiana. RNAcentral's name for it is "long non-coding RNA (NBEN_LNC024783)". The record is from RNAcentral. Lineage: Eukaryota; Viridiplantae; Streptophyta; Magnoliopsida; Solanales; Solanaceae.